UUGCUUCAGCAGCGCAUAUACUGAUUGGAACAAUACUGAGAAGAUUGGCAUGGCCCCUGCCCAAGGAUGACUUGAAAAUUCUUGAAGUCUUCCAUAUUCUU
RNAcentral lists this small nuclear RNA (101 nucleotides) under Catagonus wagneri (Chacoan peccary). The record is from RNAcentral. Lineage: Eukaryota; Metazoa; Chordata; Mammalia; Artiodactyla; Tayassuidae.